CUAGGAGAUCACGAGCAGUCUGACCAGCCAUGCCGCGUGAAGGAUAAGGUCCUCUGGAUUGUAAACUUCUUUUAUCUGGGACGAAAAAAGGCGAUUCUUCGUCACUUGACGGUACCAGAUGAAUAAGCACCGGCUAACUCCGUGCCAGCAGCCGCGGUAAUA
RNAcentral lists this ribosomal RNA (162 nucleotides) under uncultured Campylobacter sp. Its description in RNAcentral is "partial 16S ribosomal RNA". It matches the Rfam family "Bacterial small subunit ribosomal RNA", at positions 359 to 525 of the family's 1533-position model. Lineage: Bacteria; Pseudomonadati; Campylobacterota; Epsilonproteobacteria; Campylobacterales; Campylobacteraceae. The record is from RNAcentral.